AGGUUUACUUAAAAUUACAUCCCUGGUCCUUCUUCUUUCUGUAUUGCAUCGUGGUAAAUUCACAUUUCUCAGAAAUUGACAACAAAACAGAACGAAGAUAUGUAGAGGCAAAAAAGAAGGCGCAGUUGGAAAAUGAAGUGAUUAGUACGAAGUAGCAGCGCAGGCACAUUUGGAAAAUUAUGCCGAUAAGCAAGAUAGAAUUUAGGAAAAAAUGUGGUUAAUCGAGUGGCGUUAGUUAAAAUGUGCUCCAAACAUUUGGCGAACUUUUUUUCGCCUUCUCAACGUGCUAAGUUACAAGUUAAGAUGACUGCCACCACGACCGGUAGGAAGCCCGAAGCAAAGGGCAAACAACCUUCCAGGAAGCUGCCAGCUGUCCCCGAGUCGUACCUGAAGUUCAGCAAGAAGCAGGUCAGCAAACGUGCUACCCUGAUCAAGCGUAAACUAAAGCGCUCUGCUGUGAUUGCACUCCGCAAACGUCAAAACUUAUUGCAUCUGAGAAAUAUCAAGCAAAAUAUCUCCGU
Long non-coding RNA from Rhagoletis pomonella (apple maggot), 521 nucleotides. RefSeq lists it as uncharacterized. NCBI's taxonomy places the organism in Eukaryota, Metazoa, Arthropoda, Insecta, Diptera, Tephritidae. The record is from RefSeq and is a predicted model, not a curated record. The transcript is spliced from 3 exons.